This 253-nucleotide ribosomal RNA is filed under the name uncultured bacterium. Its description in RNAcentral is "partial 16S ribosomal RNA". It matches the Rfam family "Bacterial small subunit ribosomal RNA", at positions 524 to 776 of the family's 1533-position model. The record is from RNAcentral.
UACGUAGGGUGCAGGCGUUAAUCGGAAUUACUGGGCGUAAAGCGUGCGCAGGCGGUGAUGUAAGUCAGGUGUGAAAUCCCCGGGCUUAACCUGGGAACUGCAUUUGUGACUGCAUUGCUGGAGUGCGGCAGAGGGGGAUGGAAUUCCGCGUGUAGCAGUGAAAUGCGUAGAUAUGCGGAGGAACACCGAUGGCGAAGGCAAUCCCCUGGGCCUGCACUGACGCUCAUGCACGAAAGCGUGGGGAGCAAACAGG